UUUUUUUUAUCAGAGUUGCAGCAUAAAGGCUAUGCACAGAGGAGAUUUUCAAUGUUUCUGUUUUUGUUUGGUUUUACAUCCACCACAAUUAUCCUACUGUUCUCUGGGAGAGCUGGAGUGAAUACUUUUCCUGGUGCACAGUGAUUGCAUCUGCACAAUGAGAACCCAGCUCAUUCGCCACUGUGGCUCCACCUCCCCCCCCCUUCAUCCCCCCCAAGGCCAGUCGCCCAUGCUUUUAUCAUGGGUAUUCGCAAGCCCAAAAACUGCACGGAG
Non-coding RNA from Pelobates cultripes (western spadefoot toad), 273 nucleotides. NCBI's taxonomy places the organism in Eukaryota, Metazoa, Chordata, Amphibia, Anura, Pelobatidae. The record is from the annotation of a GenBank genome assembly.